UUUCAAAAGUCUAUAUAAGGGCUUGCUCACCAUUUUUCUGGGUUCCUCCUCCCUCCUGCACGUGUAAUGUGCUGGCGAGUUCACAGAGAUAUCCGAUGAAGCAGAGAUGAAACACAAGGUCCUGAAUCGUUCAGCCAGAUACACAAGCGGCAGCCAGGUUACGUUAGCUGAAAAUUUAUGUACCUUUUAAAGCAGAGAUGACCCCAUCCAUUUAGGUUUCAUGCCUGGCUGGACCACGUCUACCAAAGUCCAUCAUCAUCAACACUGCCUCCUUACUCCAAAUAUGUACCACCAACUGGUUCGGCCUGCACGGAGGCAGCCCAGCAACCCUAAGCUGCACCCAUAGAACCCCAGCCCUCAGUGACACAAUUAAAACAGUGGUUUGAUUGA
Molecule: long non-coding RNA, 390 nt
Organism: Podarcis raffonei (Aeolian wall lizard)
Lineage: Eukaryota; Metazoa; Chordata; Lepidosauria; Squamata; Lacertidae
Exons: 2
Source: RefSeq, a predicted model, not a curated record